AAGAGUUUGAUCAUGGCUCAGAUUGAACGCUGGCGGCAGGCCUAACACAUGCAAGUCGAACGGUAACAGGAAGCAGCUUGCUGCUUCGCUGACGAGUGGCGGACGGGUGAGUAAUGUCUGGGAAACUGCCUGAUGGAGGGGGAUAACUACUGGAAACGGUGGCUAAUACCGCAUAACGUCGCAAGACCAAAGAGGGGGACCUUCGGGCCUCUUGCCAUCAGAUGUGCCCAGAUGGGAUUAGCUAGUUGGUGAGGUAACGGCUCACCAAGGCGACGAUCCCUAGCUGGUCUGAGAGGAUGACCAGCCACACUGGAACUGAGACACGGUCCAGACUCCUACGGGAGGCAGCAGUGGGGAAUAUUGCACAAUGGGCGCAAGCCUGAUGCAGCCAUGCCGCGUGUAUGAA
Molecule: ribosomal RNA, 406 nt
Filed under: Salmonella enterica subsp. enterica serovar Paratyphi B
Lineage: Bacteria; Pseudomonadati; Pseudomonadota; Gammaproteobacteria; Enterobacterales; Enterobacteriaceae
Description: bacterial SSU rRNA
Rfam family: Bacterial small subunit ribosomal RNA
Source: RNAcentral